CCUACGGGAGGCAGCAGUGGGGAAUCUUGCGCAAUGGGCGAAAGCCUGACGCAGCAACGCCGCGUGCGGGAAGAAGGCUUUCGGGCUGUAAACCGCUUUCAGCAGGAACGAAAAUGACGGUACCUGCAGAAGAAGGAGCGGCCAACUAUGUGCCAGCAGCCGCGGUGAUACAUAGGCUUCAAGCGUUGUCCGGAUUUAUUGGGCGUAAAGAGUUCGUAGGCGGUCAAGUAAGUCGGGUGUGAAAAUUCUGGGCUCAACCCAGAGACGCCACCCGAUACUGCUUAACUUGAGUUCGAUAGGGGAGUGGGGAAUUCCUAGUGUAGCGGUGAAAUGCGCAGAUAUUAGGAGGAACACCGGUGGCGAAGGCGCCACUCUGGAUCGAUACUGACGCUGAGGAACGAAAGCAUGGGUAGCAAACAGGAUUAGAUACCCUGGUAGUCCAUGCCGUAAACGGUGGGCACUAGGUGUGGGUUUCUAUUAACGAAAUCCGCGCCGUCGCUAACGCAUUAAGUGCCCCGCCUGGGGAGUACGGUCGCGAGACGUAAACGUACAAGAAGUAGUAACGGCGUGAGAGUGCGAACGGACGACGACGAGGGAGGAGG
Molecule: ribosomal RNA, 602 nt
Filed under: uncultured bacterium
Lineage: Bacteria
Description: bacterial SSU rRNA
Rfam family: Bacterial small subunit ribosomal RNA
Source: RNAcentral